AAUGAACGCUGGCGGCAGGCCUAACACAUGCAAGUCGAACGGAUCCUUCGGGAUUAGUGGCGGACGGGUGAGUAACGCGUGGGAACAUACCCUUUGGUACGGAAUAGCCUCGGGAAACCGGGAGUAAUACCGUAUGUGGUCGAGAGACGGAAGAUUUAUCGCCAAAGGAUUGGCCCGCGUUGGAUUAGGUAGUUGGUGGGGUAAUGGCCUACCAAGCCGACGAUCCAUAGCUGGUUUGAGAGGAUGAUCAGCCACACUGGGACUGAGACACGGCCCAGACUCCUACGGGAGGCAGCAGUGGGGAAUCUUAGACAAUGGGGGAAACCCUGAUCUAGCCAUGCCGCGUGAUCGAUGAAGGCCUUAGGGUUGUAAAGAUCUAUCAGGUGGGAAGAUAAUGACUGUACCACCAGAAGAAGCCCCGGCUAACUCCGUGCCAGCCGCCGCCGUAA
Molecule: ribosomal RNA, 449 nt
Filed under: uncultured bacterium
Lineage: Bacteria
Description: partial 16S ribosomal RNA
Rfam family: Bacterial small subunit ribosomal RNA
Source: RNAcentral